GAGCUCCCGAACGCUAUUGAUGGAUUUGAACAAGAGAAAUCGCAAUAUGCUCAGCAAGCCAAUCGGCUUCACAAGAAUAUCCAACCGAUUUCUGGAUCUGCUAACGCCGAUCUCAAGAAGAUAAAGCAAGCCGAUGAGAUUCGUUUGCGUGCGAUAGAUACAAUCCGUAGCCUUAGUUUUAAAAACUCCAUUGUGUUAUGCCCAUCGAGGC
RNAcentral lists this long non-coding RNA (211 nucleotides) under Panicum hallii. Its description in RNAcentral is "long non-coding RNA (PHAL_LNC000709)". The record is from RNAcentral. Lineage: Eukaryota; Viridiplantae; Streptophyta; Magnoliopsida; Poales; Poaceae.